CCUACGUGUGGCUGCAGUGGGGAAUAUUGCACAAUGGGGGAAACCCUGAUGCAGCAACGCCGCGUGAGUGAAGAAGUAUUUCGGUAUGUAAAGCUCUAUCAGUAGGGAAGAAGAAAGACGGUAACUGACUUAGAAGCCCCGGCUAACUACGUGCCAGCAGCCGCUGUAAUACGUAGGGGGCAAGCGUUAUCCGGAUUUACUGGGUGUAAAGGGAGCGUAGACGGCUGUGCAAGUCAGAUGUGAAAGCCCGUGGCUCAACCCCGGGACUGCAUUGGAAACUGUACGGCUGGAGUACUGGAGAGGCAGGCGGAAUUCCUAGUGUAGCGGUGAAAUGCGUAGAUAUUAGGAGGAACACCAGUGGCGAAGGCGGCCUACUGGACAGAAACUGACGUUGAGGCUCGAAAGCGUGGGGAGCAAACAGGAUUAGAUACCCUUGUAGUC
This 441-nucleotide ribosomal RNA is filed under the name uncultured bacterium. Its description in RNAcentral is "partial 16S ribosomal RNA". It matches the Rfam family "Bacterial small subunit ribosomal RNA", at positions 338 to 795 of the family's 1533-position model. The record is from RNAcentral.